CUUCCCUCCCUUUCUCUAGCACCCCUGCCCUCUAACUGGCCUGACGAGAAAAACUGGAUUCCUAAGAUAACAAAUCUGCGCUACGGCCUAGUUACUGUGUGGCAGUGGGGUUUGUUAUGAGGGUGGCGCCGAUUCAUUUCUUUUGGCUAGAUGGUUUGUGUUGUUUCAUGUCGAUCAGUGAUAUCGAUCAUUCUGAGGAGGUAAUAGUUCUACAGGAAGUGAUCAUGUCCUCUAAAACCCUGUGAGGAGUCUCUACCUAGAGAGAUGUGAAGAGCACCGCCUAUAAGGGUUAGAAAACAGAGAGUGAGACACAGAAUGGUAGUUGACUGAGGAACGAGGUGAUUGAAAAAGAGGAUAAAUGUAAAAUGACAGGCAGAUCAGCAGACAUGUAGAGAGGACGUGGGAAGAGAAGUGGAAAAGGUUAGAGAGGACGUGGGAAGAGAAGUGGAAAAGGUUAGAGAGGACGUGGGAAGAGAAGUGGAAAAGGUUAGAGAGGACGUGGGAAGAGAAGUGGAAAAGGUUAGAGAGGACGUGGGAAGAGAAGUGGAAAAGGUUAGAGAGGACGUGGGAAGAGAAGUGGAAAAGGUUAGAGAGGACGUGGGAAGAGAAGUGGAAAAGGUUAGAGAGGACGUGGGAAGAGAAGUGGAAAAGGUUAGAGAGGACGUGGGAAGAGAAGUGGAAAAGGUUAGAGAGGACGUGGGAAGAGAAGUGGAAAAGGUUAGAGAGGACGUGGGAAGAGAAGUGGAAAAGGUUAGAGAGGACGUGGGAAGAGAAGUGGAAAAGGUUAGAGAGGACGUGGGAAGAGAAGUGGAAAAGGUUAGAGAGGACGUGGGAAGAGAAGUGGAAAAGGUUAGAGAGGACGUGGGAAGAGAAGUGGAAAAGGUUAGAGAGGACGUGGGAAGAGAAGUGGAAAAGGUUAGAGAGGACGUGGGAAGAGAAGUGGAAAAGGUUAGAGAGGACGUGGGAAGAGAAGUGGAAAAGGUUAGAGAGGGG
Oncorhynchus keta (chum salmon) is the source of this 993-nucleotide long non-coding RNA. RefSeq lists it as uncharacterized. The record is from RefSeq and is a predicted model, not a curated record. NCBI's taxonomy places the organism in Eukaryota, Metazoa, Chordata, Actinopteri, Salmoniformes, Salmonidae. The transcript has 4 exons.